AGUCUUAUAGUCAAUUAUGAUUUUAAAUUGCAAAUUUAAAGGUAAAUAUUUUUUAAGGCUU
This 61-nucleotide transfer RNA is filed under the name Platyxantha sp. BMNH 846582. RNAcentral describes it as "tRNA-Cys". The record is from RNAcentral. Lineage: Eukaryota; Metazoa; Arthropoda; Insecta; Coleoptera; Chrysomelidae.